RNAcentral lists this long non-coding RNA (1733 nucleotides) under Salvia miltiorrhiza (redroot sage). Its description in RNAcentral is "long non-coding RNA (SMIL_LNC007406)". Lineage: Eukaryota; Viridiplantae; Streptophyta; Magnoliopsida; Lamiales; Lamiaceae. The record is from RNAcentral.
UUUGCGAGCUCAUGAGCCGAACAUGCACAGGUUCGAGUUCGGCUCGAUAAUUUUAUCGAGCUUGGAUUUGGGCUCGAGUUCGGCUCAUUUAGAAAACGAACAAAUUUUGAACGAGUUUUUUUCGAGCCGAACCCCGAAUAGUUCGCGAGCGGCUUGGUCGUUUACACCCUUACCUACCGCCUUCCACUUGCCACCUGCCGAGCAUCGCCGACCCUCUGUCCAUUAACCCUAGCAGCCGCCAUGAGCUCUCCAACACAAACCCUAGGUGCCGCGUCUCGUCGUCUGCUACUCGCUGCCACGCCGCCAGCGCCAUUAGCUGCAGCCCGCGCACCACCGGCGUCAGUGCCAUCACCGCAGCCUGCACUCGAUCUGGUCCACCCGCCAACUGCAGCACCUUCGACGGUCUCCACCAUGCUGUCGUCACUUUGUCUGCUCUCCAAUACCCAUAUCGGCGCCCCCGCGACUCGCACCGCUUGCGGCUGUGUUGGUAUGAAAUAUUUUGUGGUUGUAUAUCAUCAUUUGAUUCUAGUCCACAUUACACUUAGUAGAAUAUAUACAAUAAUUUUUAGAUGGGAAAGUGGAUAUUGAGGUACAAAUUGAUAUUUUCACAAGUCUCUAAAUUUAUUUUGGUCUAUGAAAUUCUCAUAUGAAACUAGUUUCUCCAUCACAGGCCAAAUCAUAAAUUAGUUAGGUCUAAGCAUCUAAGGGAAAAAGAAUUAGAACGACUUUUCUUGAGGCUUAUUUAACUGAAGCAUCACACAUCUGUGAAGAGAAAUGAUAAGCUUCUUUUUUUUUUUAUUGUUAAUGGCUUUAAUAAGUGAUUAUAGAUUGCACUUCCCUCUAAUAUAAGUUUCAGAAAUGGAAAACGCACACCUAAAACUAGCUAGAGCUGUCCUUAUAUGCUCUGUACCUCCUUCAGGAGAUAUGUUAUAUUCUUAACAAAAUUGUCUUAAUUUAUACGUAAAUCUUUAUUCUCAUGACUGAUGUAUUUUUUUCCAAUUUUCCCAAUGGCCUAGUGUGGCGGUAUCUAUUCUCCAAACCUAUUGUUGCAUUUAAGGUACUACAUCUUGUAAAGAAUGAAUAACUUCUUUAGAGCAAGAUUGUUUCCUAACUGUGAAAACUUAAACCAAUUACCCGGGGUACAUCUAAUUUGUGACAAUAUGAAACAGAUUAACAUGCAGUUUGGCAGCAAAAGCUUUACUGUCAUGACCUCCUGAAGGAACCAUAGUUUGACGUAUGAUCCAUUUGCUCGUGACCCAUUCCGGAUGCCAAACGAGUACAUACAAAAAUCACAAAUGCCUAUUGCAAGAGUUCAAAACUUACUUGCAAAUCCGACGAUCAAAGACUCCAGUGUUGAUCUUCCAACUUGUUCCCACGGUAGAGCAUGAUGUUGGGUGGCAACGUGCUUCAAGUCCUCUCCUUCAAAGUUGGCGUCUCCUCACUCUCACGAUCUGCUCUCACGUGUAUGAUUAAUUAAUUAGGUUUAGGGUUAUCUCUUAUUAUUUAUACUAGGUAUUAGACAUACCUAAAUGAUAAACACUCAUUUUGCAUGGUUUAUAUUAUGCGGUUUAAGUCGAUUUUACGCCUGUUUUAUUAUUGUUUGGAGUUCAUUGUAUAUUAUUUCAUGAUUUCACGGUCGGGUGUAGUUUUGGCAGUUUUGAUGCAUGGAUGAGUGGUAUUGGAACAUGGAGUGUAAGGAACGUGCUUAAGAGAAGAGUUUUGAGAGAAUCGAG